AGUUGAUCCGUGGCUCAGGACGAACGCUGGCGGCGUGCCUAACACAUGCAAGUCGAACGGGGAUUUGUUUCGGCAGAAUCCUAGUGGCGAACGGGUGAGUAACGCGUAGGCAACCUGCCCUCCGGCCGGGGACAACACUCCGAAAGGGGUGCUAAUACCGGAUACGAAGUCUGUGCCGCAUGGUACGGAUUUGAAAGAUGGCCUCUAUUUAUAAGCUAUCGCCGGGGGAUGGGCCUGCGUCCGAUUAGCUGGUUGGUGGGGUAACGGCCUACCAAGGCGGCGAUCGGUAGCCGGUCUGAGAGGAUGAACGGCCACAUUGGGACUGAGACACGGCCCAGACUCCUACGGGAGGCAGCAGUGGGGAAUCUUCCGCAAUGGGCGCAAGCCUGACGGAGCAACGCCGCGUGAGUGAGGAAGUUCUUCGGAACGUAAAGCUCUGUUGUUCCUGACGAACCUCCCUUCUAUCAACAACGGAGGGGACUGACGGUAGGGAACGAGGAAGCCACGGCUAACUACGUGCCAGCAGCGGC
This 530-nucleotide ribosomal RNA is filed under the name uncultured bacterium. RNAcentral's name for it is "bacterial SSU rRNA". It matches the Rfam family "Bacterial small subunit ribosomal RNA", at positions 10 to 518 of the family's 1533-position model. The record is from RNAcentral.